CUGAUUCGUUGGGGGAGGAAGUACCCCCCGGGCAUCCAUCUCCACCCAGGUAAAUCUCAGUGCAAAAACCUAGGGUUAGGGUUCUAGCAAUACUGCUUAGUUAGAGUACUCAGUUAGUUAGGAUGCCUAGGGUUACUUCUAGCAAUACUGCUUCGUUGGGGGAGGAAGCUCCUAUGCCUAGAUGAAGUUUUUUCUUUGUUUUUUUCUGAAUUACUAAAUGUAUCAUAGUUUAUUCUGCAUUUCUUGCUCUUGUGGCAUAGAUCUUAUUGCUGUUAAUAUGUCAUAGUUUUUAUUGUGGCACUCAGAAUGUCAUGAUCAUGAAUUUGAUUUGUGUUCUAUAGGCUUGAAAAUGUUACUGAAAAUGUCAUGGUCAUUAAUAUGUUUUAAUAUGUUUUGUGUUUUGUAGGCCUGAGGAGCCAUGGUCAUUAUAUUUUCAGUUUCCUUCUAAAGAUGCUGCCAAAAAAUAUGCCCUUGUGAAGAUGUAUGAGAGAGACAUCACUUAUGGCAAUUUGCUUAAUGUGAUGGUCAGAAAUGGAUAUGGAAGUGAUGACAGUAUUUGCUACUUGAGGAAGGAUUGCACAGGGCUGCAAGGGAUUACUUUCGUCAGAAACAACACUGAAGUGGAUGAGAUGAUAAAGCGGUUUAAAAAUAGUCAGACACUGUGUUUGUAUGUUAAAGAGGGGAAAUUAGAUAUAAAGCAAGCAUCAGUUAACAAAAGUGCAGAAGAUGAAGAAGUGGACCCAGAUGAAACAAUUGAAGAUUUAACAGUGGACCCACCAGUUGUAUUUGCUGUUAAUGAGUCAGGUGUUGUG
RNAcentral lists this long non-coding RNA (812 nucleotides) under Triticum aestivum (bread wheat). RNAcentral describes it as "long non-coding RNA (TAES_LNC010006)". Lineage: Eukaryota; Viridiplantae; Streptophyta; Magnoliopsida; Poales; Poaceae. The record is from RNAcentral.